GCAGCGAAACCGCGAGGUCAAGCAAAUCCCAUAAAGUUGUUCUCAGUUCGGAUUGUAGUCUGCAACUCGACUACAUGAAGCUGGAAUCGCUAGUAAUCGUAGAUCAGCAUGCUACGGUGAAUACGUUCCCGGGUCUUGUACACACCGCCCGUCACACCACGAGAGUUUGUAACACCCGAAGCCGGUGGAGUAACCUUUUAGGAGCUAGCCGUCGAAGGUGGGACAAAUGAUUGGGGUGAAGUCGUAACAAGGUAGCCGUAUCGGAAGGUGCGGCUGGAUCACCUCCUUUCUAAGGA
RNAcentral lists this ribosomal RNA (296 nucleotides) under Staphylococcus argenteus. RNAcentral's name for it is "partial 16S ribosomal RNA". It matches the Rfam family "Bacterial small subunit ribosomal RNA", at positions 1246 to 1533 of the family's 1533-position model. Lineage: Bacteria; Bacillati; Bacillota; Bacilli; Caryophanales; Staphylococcaceae. The record is from RNAcentral.